UACGACCACUUCACGAUGAAGCACCAGUUCCUAUACAUUCACCGAAGUUAAGCAAAGUCGACCCUGAUCAGUACCUAGUUGGAUGUCCGCUUGGGAAUACCGUGUGCUGUAAG
Molecule: non-coding RNA, 113 nt
Organism: Acanthosepion pharaonis
Lineage: Eukaryota; Metazoa; Mollusca; Cephalopoda; Sepiida; Sepiidae
Source: the annotation of a GenBank genome assembly